RNAcentral lists this long non-coding RNA (340 nucleotides) under Manacus vitellinus (golden-collared manakin). RNAcentral describes it as "lncRNA (ENSMVIG00005013039.1)". The record is from RNAcentral. Lineage: Eukaryota; Metazoa; Chordata; Aves; Passeriformes; Pipridae.
GCUGCAGUGUGGUGAGGUCUGGGUUUGUACAUCACUGCCUGAAGAGUACUCAACCAGCUGUGGGAAGUCCAGGAGGAAGCAGAGAGAGACCUGAGAGCUCAAACAACCCUCAAGAAAGGAGGAAAGAUCGUGAGGAUGAUAAAGGUCUUUUGGCAGACAAACGAGUCCUGUGGGGGGAUCCUGAGGUGUGUUUGGAGAUGGACUUGUGGACCUUCUGCCGUGUCUGAGCCUUUCCCAUCUGAGACACAGGUUUGGAGCUGCUCCGAGGUAUUGGGUCAGUGAAGUUGGUUGGUGUCCAAGUCCCACGAGGGGAGCAACUGGCCUGGAAGGGACUCAGGCA